This is a non-coding RNA of Acanthosepion pharaonis, 114 nucleotides long. NCBI's taxonomy places the organism in Eukaryota, Metazoa, Mollusca, Cephalopoda, Sepiida, Sepiidae. The record is from the annotation of a GenBank genome assembly.
UUACGGCGAUAUCACGUUGAAACAUUGCUUCUCGUGCUAUCACUGAAGUUAAACAACGUCGAGGCUGGUCAGUACCUAGAUGGGUGACCGCUUAGGAACACCAGGAACUGUAAG